RNA transcript from Solanum pennellii, 2827 nucleotides. RefSeq lists it as uncharacterized. The record is from RefSeq and is a predicted model, not a curated record. NCBI's taxonomy places the organism in Eukaryota, Viridiplantae, Streptophyta, Magnoliopsida, Solanales, Solanaceae. The transcript is spliced from 9 exons.
UCCUGUUGUAUCAUCCCAAAUAAAUCGCGGAAGUUAGCGGGAAAUAAUUCUCUGGGGUAGUCUUGUUUGCUGUCAAUGUCGACGGUUCCAGAAAUAAGGUCACUCUUUGUGUCACUAGCAUCUGAACUGAAGUCCAUAAGUCCGGCGACCGGAAAUGAAGCUCCGAAUAUGGACCUCACUAUCACAAAUCUCAACCGUUCGCUUAACCUCUCCGAAACAGUUCCUAGAGUUAGGGUUUUGGACACUGCCCUUUCCGUUAUGUGCUUCACAUCAUCCCAGGUCUUUAACUAUACAAUCGAGUACUUGGUGAAGACGAUUGCUACAGUGCUAUCUUCUUCAAUUGAAUGCAAGGUUCUUAGAACUGCUGACGGGGAGGUUCUGCAAAUUGGUGGAUUGAUUUCUGGUCAGGAUUGUACCAGAAUAGUUGAAUCUUGUGCUGAUGUUCUGCAGAAACUUGGAAGAUCUCAACAUCUUUCUCCAAUCAUCUUGUAUGCUGCUGUGAGGGUGGCAGUACUAGCAUCAAGAGUUCACUAUUCACUGAAAUUGCCUCCUAUGCUUGACGUAAGAUCCAUUGAUGGAAGACACUGUGCUUUGCUGAAACAGGUACAUUGUCAAAAGGAAAUUAACAUUGAGAGUGGAAAAAUUCCGCUAAGGUUGCUCUCAUGGCAACUAGAUCACAUGCUUCUGAAGUAUGAUGUAUCGCAAAUUUUGCAAGAGGUCAUUAAGAGACCUUUCCUUUGUUUAGAAAUGGAAUUUUGUAAGAGGAAAGAGUGGCGUUCAAUUGUCAUAUGUUUGGUACAUUCUCCUGUCAUGUUUACUGAGACUAGAUCCCUGUUGCAUAACUGGUUUCUACUGACGGGUUUGGCUUCUAUUCUAGAGCUUCAUGUUAAGCUGGUCUCCCUAGUGCUAGAUAUUAUUUCCAGACCGAUGUGGUGGGGCAUAUCAAUGGACAUUGGAUCAAAACUUCCAUUUUCUUAUUCUUACUUUCCAUGCAAGAAGCAGAUUUUGAGGAUUUUGACUGGACCUUUGUCCUUGGAAUCUUUGGAGUUUCUAGUUGAUGAAGUUUGCAAGCCAGUUGAAGCAUUUUCAAAUAAAGCUGUGAACAUUGCCAAAGUAAAUCAGAGUUCUAUUUGGGCAAUUACAGUAACUUUCCCUUCUUGGUUCAUUUUCGCUUCUAUUUUACUCUUCUCAGAAAAGAGUUUGAGGGACAAGUACAGCUCAGCAUGCAUAUAUGGAGAAGGUAAUCUUAACAAUUCACAGGACGUUAAUGCUCCAUUGCUUGCUACUGCUGCAAAGUUCAUAGCAUGGAGUUUGAACCCUACUGGUGGAUCCUACUUGGAACUUUUAGUUGAUAAUCUGACCAAAUUUUCCAAUAUAUGGACUAUUAGGAAGUUUGGCUCUGAUGAAGGCAAUGAGACAACUCUUUGUCGUAACAAGGAAGUCAGGGGAUCUCUAUCCUUUAAGAAGGAAAUGGUGAAUAUCCUGGAUUCCAAUUGCCAAGCACUUGCUUUCUGGAUUAAAGAAUUUCAGGACAUGUACAAUGGGCACUCAAACAAAGUAAAUGAAAGCCUUGCUCUAGAUAAAGAACGAACACCAGGUGUUAGUGUACAAAAGAACAUGUUGUUUAGGAGGAUACCAAUAGGCAUCUUGUUCGGAUGCUUGAAUCAUAUAAAUGAUGCUGAAUGUGAACUGCUUUUGCAUUAUGGUGCAACUGGUACCCUCAUGCAAUUAACUGGAGCACAACCUGGAAUGAAGGAUAAGAAAUCUAACCAUGAACGGCAAAAAGGUUUGAUUGCAUGGGCUGAGACAUACACAGGAAAAGAGGCUACAGCAGGAGCUCGUAUUGUCUUUGACAUAACUGAUGCAAGUGAAAGUAUAUCAGCUUCUAUGUUUGAAACUGAGGAAUGUGGACUCAAUUUUGUGUGUGACGUGAAACUAAAGGUUGGGAAAUAUCUAGUCAAGUGUGUGAAAAGGCUACUCCAACUCACACUAGAGAAAAACAGCAUACAGCUGAACAUGAAGGAUCUCUAUGACAGAAUGAUCAGGUGGAGAAAUCAAGGGCGCGAUGUUUUUCAAAAUUAUAGGGAAUUGGUUGAUAUAAUAGAUGCCUGUGCUUCAGCAGCUUUUGAAGACCCUGUACAACAGCAAUCAAAUGUGCAAAACUGAAAAGGCAUGGGCCUUAGGAAGUUGUUUUGGUGGCAUGGUUCUGCUUUGUAAAAGUAUUUUCCUCAAAGCAAGGUUACUCUUCUAACUAAAACAACAGUGACUGGGCUACGUCCCUCAGCGAAAUCAACAGAAGCUGAGAGUUCUAUUAACAAAAUUCUGACAGAGACAACCAUGAGCCGUGGUGUGAUUUUUGCAAAAAAUACGGGCACACUCGUAAUACUUUCUGGAACCGCCAGCUGGAACAAAAAGAUUGCAGACAACCAUGGCCAGGCCUUUCAAUGUACCAACAAAGAACUAAGGCGUCAAUCUUCUCUAGGAAUGCGACCUUCACUAAGGAAUAAGUAGAGCUACUGCACAAAUUUCUCCAAGUUCUCCCGCCUCAACUCCAAACUAGUAAAUCUGAUCCUUCUACUCCGACUUGUUCUUUUUCCCAAACAGGAAAUAGAAAAAUCAAAGUUGCUAAUGGUUCCUUCUCAACAAUUGCUGGAAAAGGGACAAGGUCUCGAGGAGAACGAUUGACAAUGCUAUAGAGAGUUUGAAGGUCUCUAUUUUCUUGAAACCGGGGACAGUUUAGUAAAUUUUAAUUCAGCUUAUUUGAACUCUAUUCAAGUUGAUAAAUAGUCAUGUUAUGACGAUAUAGACUUGGUCGUCCUAUUUUUAA